GACGAACGCUGGCGGCGUGCUUAACACAUGCAAGUCGAACGGGUCUGCCCUGUUUUUUGCGGGGUGGGUCAGUGGCGAACGGGUGAGUAACACGUGAGUAACCUGCCCCUCACUUCUGGAUAACCGCUUGAAAGGGUGGCUAAUACGGGGUGUUCUGGCUGUGCCGCAUGGUGUGGCUGGGAAAGAUUCACUUUUGUGGUGUUUUGGUGGGGGAUGGGCUCGCGGCCUAUCAGCUUGUUGGUGGGGUGAUGGCCUGCCAAGGCUUUGACGGGUAGCCGGCAUGAGAGGGUGGGCGGUCACACUGGGACUGAGAUACGGCCCAGACUCAUGCGGGAGGCAGCAGUGGGGGGUAUUGCACAAUGGGCGGAAGCCUGAUGCAGCGACGUCGCGUGAGGGAUGGAGGCCUGCGGGUUGUGAACCUCUUUCGCCGGUGAAGAAGGUCCUGCUCUUUGGGGUGGGGUUGACGGUAGCCGGGUUAUGAAGCGCCGGCUAACUACGUG
RNAcentral lists this ribosomal RNA (500 nucleotides) under uncultured bacterium. RNAcentral describes it as "partial 16S ribosomal RNA". It matches the Rfam family "Bacterial small subunit ribosomal RNA", at positions 28 to 507 of the family's 1533-position model. The record is from RNAcentral.